AUACAAUCGGACAUUUUGAAGGAUCUAAAGAACUGUUAAUUUUGAUGAACAAACUAAGGCGCGGGGAAGUGCAAUGACCUGCCCAAGGACACGCUGUUAGAGACAGCAGAACCAUGAGUUGGACAUCAGUGGUAUAGUGAGUUGAAUGGUGACUGGAGGCCCACAUCCUAGCCCCUGGAACCUGUGACUGUGAUCUUACUCGGAAAAACAGUCUUUCUGAGGUAAAUUAAGGAUCGUGAGAGGUAUCAUCUAGAUUAUCUGGGUGGGCUCUGAUUUCAAUGAUAAGUGUACUUUCAAGAGACAAAAGAAAGAAGAGUCAGAGAGGAGGAGGAGGAAGCAAUGUGACCUUGGAGGCAGAGAAUGGAAAGAUACAGCCACAAGCCUAAGAAUGCCUGAAGUUACCAGAAACAAGAAGAGGCAAGGAAGGAAUCUCCUCUAAAGCCUCCAGAGCAAGCAUGGCCCUGCUAACACUUUGAUUUUGACUUUUGGUCUCCAGGACUAUGAGAGAAUAUGUUUCUGUUGUAAGUCACUCAGUUUGUGGUCAUUUGCUGGGGCAACACUAGGAAAAUCUAUAGGUGGCCCAGCUCCAUAACCUGUGUUCUCAAUCCUGAAGCUAUACUGUCUCUCAAAGGAGCAGAUAAUCCUUAACGUUUGAAAUUCAUGCUACCCUUUCCCAGGAUGUUUGCUUCACCAUCCUCCAAAGCUACUAUUUCAAACAUUCUCUCUCUUAAAAUUAGUACAUCUUUUUUCUCUUCUCCUUAGUCUUAUUUGAUGAAAUUGCUCCAUAUUUUAUUUAUAAACAAACCCCUUUGAUUGUUCAAUUUCCAAACUUACCAAAUUGGCUCUCCACAUUUUUGAAUUUUUUCUUCUUAUGUAGUUGAAGUAUUCUCUGCUUCUAUCCAAAGAAACACUUACACAGCUCUAUAUCUUCUUAUUUGCUGUCUCAAAUUAUUUACUCUGGUAUUCAUUAUCUAUUGCUGUGUAACAAAUUACCCCAGAACUUAGCAUCUUGAAAUAACAGAUAUUUAUUAGCAAAGUUUUUGUGCAUCAGAUAUCUGGAAAUGUCCCACCUGUGUCCCCUGCUUCAGAGUCUUUCACAAAGCUGCAAUCAAGGUGUCAGCCAGCAUUGGAGUCUCAUCUGAAGACUCAACUGGGGAAGUAUAUGUUUCUAAUUUCACUUAUGUGGCUGUUGACACAAAUCAGUUUUUAUACUUGUGUUGACUGUGAGACUCAGUUAUUUGCUGGCUGUUAUACAGAACCCAUCAUCAGAUGCUUGCCACAUGGGACUUCCCAAUAUGGCAGCUUGUUUUAUCAAAGCUGAAGAGAGUCUGAAAGCAAGACAGUAGUCAUAGUCUUAUGUAACCUAAUCAUGUGAGUGACAGCCUAUAAUCUCUACCACAUUCCAUUAGAAGCAAUUUGCUAGGCUAGCCAACACUCGGGGAAAGGGAUGAAUACUCAAGGACUAUGGAUCACUGGGGCCAUAUUAGAAUCCACCUGUGACAAUUCUCCAAUGCCUUCUUUCUCCUACAUAAUCACAUUCUCCAUCUCUAAUAGAACACACUAGUCAGUAUACAAACAUGCUUUAGAUUAUCUCAUUUUACAAAAAUCCUGUGACUCCAUUCUUUCAGCUAGUACCCACUUUUUUAUUUUUUAUUUUUAUUUUUAUUUUCAGACAGUUUUGCUCUUGUUGCCCAGGCUGGAGUGCAAAGGUGUGAUCUCGGCUCACUGCAACCUCUGCCUCCUAGGUUCAAGUGAUUCUCCUGCCUCAGCCUCCCGAGUAGCUGGGAUUACAGGCGCCUGCCACCACACCCAGCUAAUUUUUGUAUUUUUAGUAGAGAUGGGGUUUCAUCAUGUUGGUCAGGCUAGUCUAGAACUCCUGACCUUCCUGACCUCAGGUGAUCCACCUGCCUCGGCCUCCCAAAGUGCUGGGAUUACAGGCGUGAGCCACUGCACCCAGCCUUAUUAUUUUUUAAUUUUGUGGUUAUCACUUUAUGUAUCUUGUUUAUGAAAUUUUAUCCUCU
RNAcentral lists this long non-coding RNA (2021 nucleotides) under Homo sapiens (human). RNAcentral's name for it is "HSALNT0187868". Lineage: Eukaryota; Metazoa; Chordata; Mammalia; Primates; Hominidae. The record is from RNAcentral.